GACGAACGCUGGCGGCGUGCUUAACACAUGCAAGUCGAACGGAAAGGCUCCAGCUUGCUGGAGUACUCGAGUGGCGAACGGGUGAGUAACACGUGGGUAAUCUGCCUGCACUCUGGGAUAAGCCUGGGAAACUGGGUCUAAUACUGGAUAUGACCUUUCUCCUUAUGGGGUUUGGUGGAAAGUUUUUCGGUGUAGGAUGAGCCCGCGGCCUAUCAGCUUGUUGGUGGGGUGAUGGCCUACCAAGGCGACGACGGGUAGCCGGCCUGAGAGGGUGAUCGGCCACAUUGGGACUGAGAUACGGCCCAGACUCCUACGGGAGGCAGCAGUGGGGAAUAUUGCACAAUGGGCGGAAGCCUGAUGCAGCGACGCCGCGUGAGGGAUGACGGCCUUCGGGUUGUAAACCUCUUUCAGCAGGGACGAAGCGUAAGUGACGGUACCUGCAGAAGAAGCACCGGCUAACUAUGUG
This 466-nucleotide ribosomal RNA is filed under the name uncultured bacterium. Its description in RNAcentral is "partial 16S ribosomal RNA". It matches the Rfam family "Bacterial small subunit ribosomal RNA", at positions 28 to 507 of the family's 1533-position model. The record is from RNAcentral.